Molecule: ribosomal RNA, 503 nt
Filed under: uncultured bacterium
Lineage: Bacteria
Description: partial 16S ribosomal RNA
Rfam family: Bacterial small subunit ribosomal RNA
Source: RNAcentral
AUUGAACGCUGGCGGCAGGCUUAACACAUGCAAGUCGAGCGGGGUGAUGGUGCUUGCACUAUCACUUAGCGGCGGACGGGUGAGUAAUGCUUAGGAAUCUGCCUAUUAGUGGGGGACAACAUCUCGAAAGGGAUGCUAAUACCGCAUACGUCCUACGGGAGAAAGCAGGGGAUCACUUGUGACCUUGCGCUAAUAGAUGAGCCUAAGUCGGAUUAGCUAGUUGGUGGGGGAAAGGCCUUCCCAGGCGACGAUCUGUAGCGGGUCUGAGAGGAUGAUCCGCCACACUGGGGCUGGGACACGGCCCAGACUCCGACGGGGGGCAGCAGUGGGGAAUAUUGGACAAAGGGGAGGACCCUGAUCCAGCCAUGCCGCGUGUGUGAAGAAGGCCUUAUGGUUGUAAAGCACUUUAAGCGAGGAGGAGGCUCUUUUGGUUAAUACCCAAGAUGAGUGGACGUUACUCGCAGAAUAAGCACCGGCUAACUCUGUGCCAGCCGCCGCCGUAA